RNAcentral lists this ribosomal RNA (483 nucleotides) under uncultured eukaryote. RNAcentral's name for it is "bacterial SSU rRNA". It matches the Rfam family "Eukaryotic small subunit ribosomal RNA", at positions 43 to 549 of the family's 1831-position model. The record is from RNAcentral.
AUUAAGCCAUGCAUGUGUCAGAAUAUGUCUGUAUAGACGAAUCUGCGGACGGCUCAUUACAACAGUAAUCACAUAUUUGACGCUUUCAUUACGGAUAACCGUGGGAAACCAAGGCUAAUACGAGUGAAAAGUGUUGCUGUCUCAGCAACGCGGUAUUUCUUGUGUCUUGAGUCGAACGCGCUCCGGCGUGUGCGAUGAAUCGCAAGAACUUUUCGAAUCGAUUUCGAUGCGUCAUAUUGGUUUCUGACCUAUCAGCUCUCGAUGGUGAGGUAUUGGCUAACCAUGGCGAUGACGGGUGACGGGGAAUUGGGGUUUGAUUCCGGAGAGGGCGCCUGAGAAAUGGCGACCACGUCUAAGGAUGGCAGCAGGCGCGCAAAUUACCCAAUCCUGACACAGGGAGGUAGUGACAAGAAAUAGCAACACAAAGCACUUGCUUUGAUGUUUGCAAUGGCAGGCGGUUACAUCUCGCUUAGAGUAUCAAUU